RNAcentral lists this unclassified non-coding RNA (337 nucleotides) under soil metagenome. Its description in RNAcentral is "partial contains 5.8S ribosomal RNA, internal transcribed spacer 2, and large subunit ribosomal RNA". The stretch from base 1 to 120 matches the Rfam family "5.8S ribosomal RNA", at positions 35 to 154 of the family's 154-position model. The record is from RNAcentral.
GAUGAAGAACGUAGCGAAAUGCGAUAAGUAAUGUGAAUUGCAGAAUUCCGUGAAUCAUCGAAUCUUUGAACGCACAUUGCGCCCCCUGGCAUUCCGGGGGGCAUGCCUGUCCGAGCGUCAUUUCUGCCCUCAAGCACGGCUUGUGUGUUGGGUGUGGUCCCCCCGGGGACCUGCCCGAAAGGCAGCGGCGACGUCCGUCUGGUCCUCGAGCAUAUGGGGCUCUGUCACUCGCUCGGGAAGGACCUGCGGGGGUUGGUCACCACCAUGUUUUACCACGGUUGACCUCGGAUCAGGUAGGAGUUACCCGCUGAACUUAAGCAUAUCAAUAAGCGGAGGA